GGGUGAGCUAAACUAGCUCAGUGUGAGUCUAUAAUAGUAUGAUCACAUAACCAUUCAUACAAGAAACAAUCAUUAAUUCAAUACCAUUCGAUACAACACAAUAUAAUACGUAGCAUAAAUUAAUGUUAUUCGAUUAUGUCGUGAGUAUGAUGCAAUGCAAAAAGGUUCCUACCCAUCCAUCCGCUACACACCACGAAUUCCCUAGAACUCAUC
This 213-nucleotide long non-coding RNA is filed under the name Gossypium barbadense (sea-island cotton). Its description in RNAcentral is "long non-coding RNA (GBAR_LNC006413)". Lineage: Eukaryota; Viridiplantae; Streptophyta; Magnoliopsida; Malvales; Malvaceae. The record is from RNAcentral.